GGGCAUGUACCUUAGUGGUAGAGCACUUGCCUAGCAUAUAAAAGCCCCUGGGUUCAAUUCCCAGUACCCCCC
Molecule: transfer RNA, 72 nt
Filed under: Marmota marmota marmota (Alpine marmot)
Lineage: Eukaryota; Metazoa; Chordata; Mammalia; Rodentia; Sciuridae
Also listed under: 4 other names
Rfam family: tRNA
About the family: Transfer RNA (tRNA) molecules are approximately 80 nucleotides in length.
Source: Rfam by way of RNAcentral